GCAAGUCGGACGAGAACGGACCCUUCGGGGUCUUAGUAAAGUGGCGAACGGGUGAGUAACGCGUAGACAACCUGCCCCUAGGUGGGGAACAACUACGGGAAACCGUAGCUAAUACCGCAUAAUGUCAGAUGGCCGCAUGGCUGACUGAUCAAAGCUUUAUGCGCCUAGGGAUGGGUCUGCGUUGGAUUAGCUAGUUGGUGAGGUAAUAGCUCACCAAGGCAACGAUCCAUAGCGGGUCUGAGAGGAUGAUC
This 251-nucleotide ribosomal RNA is filed under the name uncultured bacterium. Its description in RNAcentral is "partial 16S ribosomal RNA". It matches the Rfam family "Bacterial small subunit ribosomal RNA", at positions 57 to 305 of the family's 1533-position model. The record is from RNAcentral.